UGUUGGGAGCGGUGUGUGACGUAAUGAAGGACAGGCUGGGAGACUUUCUUUGCUCGCUUCCUGCGACCAGGGGCCUGCGGUUCCUACUCUGGAUCAGUCCUAGGAACUAGAGCGGACAGGGCGAGCCCUUAUCUGGCUGAGGAGCUUCUUGGGAGCUAGUUAGCAGUCAGCGAAGUGGAAGCCCCUGGCUCGGACAUGGUGAAUGGGUGGUAGCGCGGGCGCUACUGCAACAGGCAAGGGUUAGAGAAACAUCAAACAGCUGCUGGGGGCAGUUGACUCUGACUCAGCAACUCAGGUCAGACAUUCUGACAUAUGGAGCUGCGUAGAAGCUGUGCAGAAUCUCCAGACAAUCUCCAAGAUUGCAGCUUUCGUGAGCUGACACUGAAAGGAAAAAAAA
Molecule: long non-coding RNA, 397 nt
Organism: Onychomys torridus (southern grasshopper mouse)
Lineage: Eukaryota; Metazoa; Chordata; Mammalia; Rodentia; Cricetidae
Exons: 3
Source: RefSeq, a predicted model, not a curated record